RNAcentral lists this ribosomal RNA (424 nucleotides) under uncultured Acholeplasma sp. RNAcentral's name for it is "bacterial SSU rRNA". It matches the Rfam family "Bacterial small subunit ribosomal RNA", at positions 956 to 1382 of the family's 1533-position model. The record is from RNAcentral. Lineage: Bacteria; Bacillati; Mycoplasmatota; Mollicutes; Acholeplasmatales; Acholeplasmataceae.
GAUACGGCGAAGAACCUUACCAGGUCUUGACACUCCCCGCAAUGCUCUGGAGACAGAGCGGAGGUAGUCCGGGGAGACAGGUGGUGCAUGGUUGUUCGUCAGCUCGUGUCGUGAGAUGUUGGGUUAAGUCCCGCAACGAGCGCAACCCUUAUUGCUAGUUACCAUCAUUGAGUUGGGGACUCUAGCGAGACUGCCAGCGAUAAGCUGGAGGAAGGUGGGGAUGACGUCAAAUCAUCAUGCCCCUUAUGACCUGGGCUACAAACGUGAUACAAUGGCUGGAACAAAGGGAGGCGAAGGGGUGACCUGGAGCGAAACCCAAAAAUACAGUCUCAGUUCGGAUUGAAGUCUGCAACUCGACUUCAUGAAGUCGGAAUCGCUAGUAAUCGCGGAUCAGAACGCCGCGGUGAAUACGUUCUCGGGGUUU